This 429-nucleotide ribosomal RNA is filed under the name Gemmatimonadota bacterium. RNAcentral's name for it is "Gemmatimonadetes bacterium partial 16S ribosomal RNA". It matches the Rfam family "Bacterial small subunit ribosomal RNA", at positions 355 to 776 of the family's 1533-position model. Lineage: Bacteria; Pseudomonadati; Gemmatimonadota. The record is from RNAcentral.
UAGGGAAUCUUCGGCAAUGGACGAAAGUCUGACCGAGCAACGCCGCGUGAGUGAAGAAGGUUUUCGGAUCGUAAAACUCUGUUGUUAGAGAAGAACAAGGACGUUAGUAACUGAACGUCCCCUGACGGUAUCUAACCAGAAAGCCACGGCUAACUACGUGCCAGCAGCCGCGGUAAUACGUAGGUGGCAAGCGUUGUCCGGAUUUAUUGGGCGUAAAGCGAGCGCAGGCGGUUUCUUAAGUCUGAUGUGAAAGCCCCCGGCUCAACCGGGGAGGGUCAUUGGAAACUGGGGGACUUGAGUGCAGAAGAGGAGAGUGGAAUUCCAUGUGUAGCGGUGAGAUGCGUAGAUAUAUGGAGGAACACCAGUGGCGAAGGCGGCUCUCUGGUCUGUUACUGACGCUGAGGCUCGAAAGCGUGGGGAGCAAACAGG